GACUGUUUGGCCGAGUGGUUAAGGCGCUAGCUUCAGGAUUGCUAGUCACUUCGGUGGCGUGGGUUCGAGUCCCACAGCAGUCA
Molecule: transfer RNA, 83 nt
Filed under: Hypsibius exemplaris
Lineage: Eukaryota; Metazoa; Tardigrada; Eutardigrada; Parachela; Hypsibiidae
Description: tRNA-Leu
Rfam family: tRNA
About the family: Transfer RNA (tRNA) molecules are approximately 80 nucleotides in length. Their secondary structure includes four short double-helical elements and three loops (D, anti-codon, and T loops).
Source: RNAcentral